AUCAACUUUCGAUGGUAGGAUAGAGGCCUACCNUGGUGGUAACGGGUAACGGGGUGUUAGGGCACGACACCGGAGAGGGAGCCUGAGAAACGGCUACCACAUCCAAGGAUGGCAGCAGGCGCGCAAAUUACCCAAUCCCGACAUGGGGAGGUAGUGACAAUAAAUAACAAUACGGGGUUCUUUCGGAUCUCGUAAUUGGAAUGAGUACAAUUUAAAUCUCUUAACGAGGAACAAUUGGAGGGCAAGUCUGGUACCAGCAGCCGCGGUAAUUCCAGCUCCAAUAGCGUAUAUUAAAGUUGUUGCAGUUAAAAAGCUCGUAGUUGAAUUUCGGGAUUAGCAGGUCGGUCGUGCCACUGGUACGUACUGGUCUUGCUGAUUCCUCCCUCUUGACGAGCCGUAAUGCCAUUAAUUUGGUGUUGCGGGGAAUCAGGACUGUUACUUUGAAAAAAUUAGAGUGUUUAAAGCAGGCAUGCGCUUGAAUACAUUAGCAUGGAAUAAUGAAAUAGGACGUUCGAUCUUAUUUUGUUGGUUUCUAGGAUUGACGUAAUGAUUAAUAGGGAUAGUUGGGGGCAUUAGUAUUCAAUUGUCAGAGGUGAAAUUCUUGGAUUUAUUGAAGACUAACUACUGCGAAAGCAUUUGCCGAGGAUGUUUUCAUUAAUCAAGAACGAAAGUUAGGGGAUCGAAGACGAUCAGAUACCGUCGUAGUCUUAACCAUAAACUAUGCCGACUAGGGAUCGGAUGAUGUUAAUUUUUUAAUGACUCAUUCGGCGCCUUACGGGAAACCAAAGUGUUUGGGUUC
Molecule: ribosomal RNA, 799 nt
Filed under: uncultured Sclerocystis
Lineage: Eukaryota; Fungi; Glomeromycota; Glomeromycetes; Glomerales; Glomeraceae
Description: SSU rRNA
Rfam family: Eukaryotic small subunit ribosomal RNA
Source: RNAcentral